RNAcentral lists this small RNA (110 nucleotides) under Paenibacillus sp. RNAcentral describes it as "Guanidine-I sequence". It matches the Rfam family "Guanidine-I riboswitch aptamer". From Rfam's summary of the family: This family represents a conserved RNA structure found upstream of the ykkC and yxkD genes in Bacillus subtilis and related genes in other bacteria. The function of this family is unclear although it has been suggested that it may function to switch on efflux pumps and detoxification systems in response to harmful environmental molecules. Lineage: Bacteria; Bacillati; Bacillota; Bacilli; Caryophanales; Paenibacillaceae. The record is from RNAcentral. RNAcentral also lists the same sequence under 1 other name.
CGAAUUGUUCCCUAGGGUUCCGCGGCGGAUACACCGGCCGGACUGGUCCAAGAGGGAACGCGCGGCACUUUAUCAUGUCGUGGACACGGAGGGACAAAAGCCCGGGAGAU